RNAcentral lists this unclassified non-coding RNA (332 nucleotides) under soil metagenome. RNAcentral describes it as "partial contains 5.8S ribosomal RNA, internal transcribed spacer 2, and large subunit ribosomal RNA". The stretch from base 1 to 120 matches the Rfam family "5.8S ribosomal RNA", at positions 35 to 154 of the family's 154-position model. The record is from RNAcentral.
GAUGAAGAACGUAGCGAAAUGCGAUAAGUAGUGUGAAUUGCAGAAUUCAGUGAAUCAUCGAAUCUUUGAACGCACACUGCGCCCUUUGGUAUUCCUUAGGGCAUGCCUGUUCGAGCGUCAUUUAAACCUUCAAGCUAAGCUUGGUGUUGGGUGACUGUCCGCUUCACUGCGGACUCGCCUCAAAAUUAUUGGCGGCCGGUACAUUGGCUUCGAGCGCAGCAGAAACGCGAACUCGGGCCCGUCGUAUUGGCUCCCAGAAGCUAUCUUCACAAUUUUGACCUCGGAUCAGGUAGGGAUACCCGCUGAACUUAAGCAUAUCAAUAAGCGGAGGA